Molecule: transfer RNA, 75 nt
Filed under: Bamona sp. ZMUN 10029121
Lineage: Eukaryota; Metazoa; Arthropoda; Insecta; Coleoptera; Staphylinidae
Description: tRNA-Leu
Source: RNAcentral
UAAUCUAAUAUGGCAGAUUAGUGCAAUGGAUUUAAACCCCAUUAAUAAAGGCUCCUCCCUCCCUUUUUUUAGAAA